AACCCCUCUUCUAAAUCCUGACCAUUCAUCUCAUUCCGUUUAAAUCCUGGCCCUUCAUCUAUAAUUAAAUCAACGGACAAGAUCGAUUCCUCUCAUCUUUCCUAUUUUAAAUCCUAAAAGACUAACCCUAAAGUUUAUUCACUUUUCCUCCUCUCACUUAAAGAUCCAGCAGCCGCCAUCCCUCCACCUCGCCAUUUUUUCCGGCGAAAGCCAUCGGAGGCAGAUCCUCCCCUCUCCGGCGCCCUCUCUCUCUCCCCCCCUCGUCUCUUCUCCUUUCUCCCCUCUCGCAGCUCCAGCAGCCUCCAUCUCCGGCGAGCGACCAGACGAGAGAAGCAGCAACACCGGCAGAAACCAGCGCCACCAGCAACAGCCAGCAACACUGGCAGCAGCAGCCAGCAACACUGGCAGCAGCAGCAGCCACCACGAAAAUCAGCAGCAGCAGCCACCACGAAAACCAGCAGCUCCAGUGCUCUGAUCAACUGCUCUGGCUAACAGCAACAACAAACAACAAAAACAGCUAGACCCUCGAGUAUCCAUUCCUCUCGUCUCCGGCGAAGUUUGAGUUCGAAGACGGAUCUCAACAGAUCCGUCCUAGUUUUGAACUCAAAGUUCAAGAUAUUGAAGAGUUGCCAUUGAAGGAAAACAUUAGACAAGCUAAAUUUGUUUAAUUUGGGUUUUAUAUGUUAUUUAAUUUCUAUUAUUGUCUUGUAAUAAUUUGUAAACUCUAA
Molecule: long non-coding RNA, 728 nt
Organism: Solanum tuberosum (potato)
Lineage: Eukaryota; Viridiplantae; Streptophyta; Magnoliopsida; Solanales; Solanaceae
Exons: 2
Source: RefSeq, a predicted model, not a curated record